Molecule: non-coding RNA, 159 nt
Filed under: Pseudomonadota bacterium
Lineage: Bacteria; Pseudomonadati; Pseudomonadota
Description: Proteobacteria bacterium (groundwater metagenome) 6S RNA
Rfam family: 6S / SsrS RNA
About the family: E. coli 6S RNA was the first non coding RNA to be sequenced, but its function was unknown until recently. It consists of 184 nucleotides that fold into an extended hairpin structure with a large single-stranded internal bulge.
Source: RNAcentral
CGGUCACUGUGGCGUGCGAGAGGCGCUUGCAUCCCUGGGACCGUAUCAUCUCUCUCGGGAGCUGGCUCUGUACCGGACCCUGGUCCGGAAUACCUGGCGCCCACCUACUUGUUAGGGUCUGAGAGGAUGAGCAUUCCUUCCGGCGCAUAUGGUACCGCC